This is a long non-coding RNA of Papaver somniferum (opium poppy), 377 nucleotides long. RefSeq lists it as uncharacterized. The transcript is spliced from 4 exons. The record is from RefSeq and is a predicted model, not a curated record. NCBI's taxonomy places the organism in Eukaryota, Viridiplantae, Streptophyta, Magnoliopsida, Ranunculales, Papaveraceae.
UCCUGUGGAGUUAGAACCUGGAAUUUUGGGAAAUAUUUUUGACAAAUUGGAAGCAUCAUACAGCUUAACGAUAGAUGGAGCACAAGGAAUAAGAGUCUGUCGAAGAUGAGGCGCCUGUGAUAACAAUAUGGGAAGGAAUUGGAUGGCUAGGUGUUUUAACUCUUUGGAUUUCCGUUCUUUCUGGAUACAUGGUCAAUGCGAUAGAGCAACCGGAUUCCUGAAACUUCUUUGAUUACGCGGUCUUAUAUUCCAAACAGUGUCUCAGAGAUACUAGCACUUUGGAGAAACGACCUCAACAAGAUCGCAAAUAUGAGCAAUAAGUCCCGCUACUUACAAGGAUGGUUAUGAAUCAACAAGAAUCUAUACUUGUUUGAGCA